This is a non-coding RNA of Carica papaya (papaya), 1843 nucleotides long. NCBI's taxonomy places the organism in Eukaryota, Viridiplantae, Streptophyta, Magnoliopsida, Brassicales, Caricaceae. The record is from RefSeq and is a predicted model, not a curated record.
GCAAUCGUUGCGGCGCAACGGCGGCCACCACUGUACGUCAUUUCUCGAAUAGCUUCAUUAUUCUCUUCUUCACAAACCCUUCCUUUUUGUAAAGUAAUUUAUCUCCCUCAAAACACUCACUUCUCUCAGCAACAGGCUACACCACUAGCUGCUCCUUUGGCCGCGGAGAUCAUUCAUUUUUCUCUCUAUUCUUCUCUCAAAAGCUCUUGCUCUUGUUUCGAGAAUCAGCGAGUCUCGCUGAAAAUCAUCGGAGCAUACAUUCAACGACGGGCUAUGCUCGAGAUCAUACAAUUGCGUUUAUAGCUUUUCAGGAGCUGCGUGAAUCGCUCGAUCGACGAAGCUGGAAUUCAUUCUCUAGCAGUAUUCGGCAAUUGGGAGGUCAAUUGUGAGAAAUGCAGUCCCUUCGUGGUGGUCUUCGUCUGCUUCAAAGGCAGAACUUUGCCAGCUCAAACAUUGCCCAUUUGAAGUCCACAAGGGCAUCCUCAGUUACUAGCAGCACUACUACCCGAGGACUGAGCAAUUUGGAAUUUAAUUCUUCAGCUCCUGAUGGAAUUGUUUCUUCAAAAUCUAUUGAUUCUUCAACACGUUCCUUAGAGAGUUACUUGUUUCCCUCACUUACAAAGCCAGCUGUUUGUUCUCCAGUAUCAUUUCAGACAAAAUAUGGAUCUGGACAAGAGAAGUUGACUUUGUCAAACAGUUACAGUAGGAGUUCAAGGUCUGCCUCUUUCCAGUUGGUACCAGGGAUGCCUCUUUUCUCUAAGAGGUGCAUUACAACAUUGGAAGAAAUUAGUCAGAAGGCUUUACGAGAUUCGUCUGCAACUGGCUCUGAUAUAACUCCACAUAUCAAAUUCAAGAGGCUUGAUAAAACGGCCAGGCAUAUAAUGCAGAUUAUAGAUAAGGAAGCUGUAGAGGAAGUCAGGGCAUACAGAGAGAUACCUGAUAUAAAGCCUGGUUACAUUGUGCAACUGAAAGUGGAGGUACCUGAAAACAAGAGACGGGUUUCCAUUUUGAAAGGCAUUGUCAUAGCAAGGCGUAAUGCUGGUAUUAGCACUACAUUUAGGAUCAGAAGGCUAGUGGCUGGAGUUGGGGUUGAGUCCCUCUUCCUCUUGUAUUCCCCAAACAUAAAGGAGAUAAAGGUGCUGGACAAGAAGAAAGUGCGGAGGGCAAAGCUCUACUAUCUAAGGGACAAGAUGAAUGCACUCAAAAGACAGUAGAUUGGCUUGAUAAUAGUGGAUCACUUAAUUUAGAUAUUUUUCUUCUUAGACAAAUGAUGUUUUUUGUUUUCUCAAAAUUUAUCAGGUUUAAUGCAUGCAUAUUUGAAUAUGCUGGGAUGGUGUUUGAACUUGAAACGGUGGAGAUGGGAGGCUGAGUUCCUUUGUGUUAUGCCGGAAUUGGUGCAAUCAUAUUCAUAACACCAGUAGAUAUGCCAUUUUUAAGCAUAUGGUUUUUUCCCCCAACUAUGCCCCACCUCUUCUUUCCUGUUCUUUUUUUUUUUCCUUGAAUGAAGAGAAAAAAACACAAGAAUCAGCUCAUAGUAAGCCCACACCCAGAAGGCUGUCAUCGAGAAUAUUCAAGGACAGGGGCAAACCUGUGCUCUGUGGAGCCCGAGGUCAUCAAGGCUGGUACAGAAUGCGAUUGGUGAAACCCUGAGCUGGCUGGUCAGGUAAUAAAUGUUACAUAUGUUGACGCCGAAAGCUUUAGCAUGAUUCUUCCAAACCAAGUGCCAGUUGUGAAGAUGAUACUCCACUCUAAACGAAUCAACCUUUGGAGGCUCAUGCACACAAAUCAUGAAGAGAAGAUUGCUUAUGCACAAUUGAGACAAUUAGGAAAACCUGUGAGGCAU